AUAAAGGUGUUAUUAACUUAAUAGAGGAAGUUGGGUGAGAAUCCCACACAGCGAAAGCUACUGUAUGGUGGACGAAAUCACAAUAUGUCACUGGGAGACUGGGAAGGCGUGAGAGUAGGGAGAAACUAAGUCAGGAGACUUACCGUUUUAUUG
This 153-nucleotide non-coding RNA is filed under the name fish gut metagenome. The record is from RNAcentral.